AUCCAGACUCCUACGGGAGGCAGCAGUGAGGAAUAUUGGUCAAUGGGCGAGAGCCUGAACCAGCCAAGUCGCGUGAGGGAGUACUGCCCUAUGGGUUGUAAACCUCUUUUGUCGGGGAGCAAAAGCCGGACGUGUCCGGCUGUGAGAGUACCCGAAGAAAAAGCAUCGGCUAACUCCGUGCCAGCAGCCGCGGUAAUACGGAGGAUGCGAGCGUUAUCCGGAUUUAUUGGGUUUAAAGGGUGCGCAGGCGGAUUUUUAAGUCAGCGGUCAAAUCGUGGGGCUCAACCCCGGGGCUGCCGUUGAAACCGGAGCGCUAGAAUUCCGAUGCCGUCGGAGGAAUGUGUGGUGUAGCGGUGAAAUGCAUAGAUAUCACACAGAACACCGAUUGCGAAGGCAUCUGACGAAUCGGAGAUUGACGCUGAUGCACGAAAGCGUGGGUAUCGAACAGGAUUAGAUACCCGGGUAGU
RNAcentral lists this ribosomal RNA (467 nucleotides) under uncultured bacterium. RNAcentral describes it as "bacterial SSU rRNA". It matches the Rfam family "Bacterial small subunit ribosomal RNA", at positions 329 to 794 of the family's 1533-position model. The record is from RNAcentral.